Small nuclear RNA from Talpa occidentalis (Iberian mole), 134 nucleotides. RefSeq annotates it as U4 spliceosomal RNA. Lineage: Eukaryota; Metazoa; Chordata; Mammalia; Eulipotyphla; Talpidae. The transcript has a single exon. The record is from RefSeq and is a predicted model, not a curated record.
AGCUUUGCGCAGUGACAGUAUCGUAGCCAAUGAGGUUUAUCUGAGGCGCAAUUAUUGCUAAUUAAAAGAACAAAGCUGUCUCUUGAUUUCAAACUACUAUAUGUUAUGAAUCUAUGGAAACCAAAACAGUAUGG